Long non-coding RNA from Suricata suricatta (meerkat), 383 nucleotides. RefSeq lists it as uncharacterized. The record is from RefSeq and is a predicted model, not a curated record. The transcript has 3 exons. Lineage: Eukaryota; Metazoa; Chordata; Mammalia; Carnivora; Herpestidae.
GCAGCUCUGUGCGGUCUUGUAGACUCUUGCCUACAAACUAGAUAGGCACCUGAAGGCAUCCAAUAAGUAUCUGUUUCACUGAUAUAGGAAGAACAAAAUAGGUCACAUGCAAAGGCUCCAAUCUGUGGAUGGCCCCAGCCUGCUCAUCAGCCCUGUGGCAGCUGAAAGACUGACCGUCUUCAUGCCCUGGAGGGACAGUGGUCUCCAACUUUGAGUUCUCACUCAGCCAAGCAUCAGCCAACCAUGAGAUAGAAGGUCAUCUCUACACCCAACACAGGGCUCAAACCUACAACCCUGAGAUCCAAACUCACGCUCCACCGACCAGAGCCGCCCAGGCACCCCACUUUCUUUCCAGUAGGCUCCUUGCCCAACGUGGGGCUCAA